Molecule: non-coding RNA, 357 nt
Organism: Vicia faba (fava bean)
Lineage: Eukaryota; Viridiplantae; Streptophyta; Magnoliopsida; Fabales; Fabaceae
Source: the annotation of a GenBank genome assembly
UUAUCUCACCCUUAUUUCUCUUGCCAAAACGACUUGAUAACACCCACAGACCAUGCAAAAUGUACACCUUCCAUAUCUCUCUCUCUCAAUUUAUUUUGGAUUUCUCUUUUUUUGCCCUUAAACAAACUUUCUCUCUACUCUACCUCUCACACACUCUCUCUAUAUAACCACUCUUUCACUCUCAUAACAACACACACGGUUUUGAAGGCAAAGGAAGUGAGAUCUAAAGUAAAAAUUCUCUCAAGCUAUUUUCUCACUAGAAGCUCUUUCUAUUUGAUUUUUUCUCCGGAUUUCUGGCUUCUCUCUUGUUCCUUGAAGAUCAUGAGAACAAGAUUGGUGGGUUUUCUGAAGAUUUAA